UGGGAUGUGGCUCGGUGGUUGAGUGCUUGCCUAGCAUGCAUGGGGCACUGGGUUCAAUCCUCAGCACCACAU
Molecule: non-coding RNA, 72 nt
Organism: Ictidomys tridecemlineatus (thirteen-lined ground squirrel)
Lineage: Eukaryota; Metazoa; Chordata; Mammalia; Rodentia; Sciuridae
Source: Rfam